Molecule: small RNA, 408 nt
Filed under: Vigna angularis var. angularis
Lineage: Eukaryota; Viridiplantae; Streptophyta; Magnoliopsida; Fabales; Fabaceae
Description: Non-protein coding transcript
Source: RNAcentral
CGAUCAUAGACACACUACUUUUAAACUAAAAUGGGCAUAUAUGAGAGGCUUCACAGAAGCAAAACAGGUAGGUUCUGAAUUUUGCUUGUUGCCAAAAAAAUAAAAUACUGUUUUCCAUUCUCACUUGACUUGUAGUCCUAGGUGGUGGAAACAAAUUAGUGUUUUAUUUUAUCAAAUUGGUCUUGGUCAUGUUUCUGUUUGUGUUUUUGUGCUGUAGCUGAACUGAGAAUUUUUUAACAUUCAUUAGAAAAUUAGAAGAAGGAAAACUGCCUCAUGGUUAAGAGAGUCUGUAUUGCAGCUUGGUCCAACUUUCAUUAAACUUGGUCAGUUGUCAUCAACAAGGUCGGAUCUGUUUCCACGUGAAUUUGUGGAUGAGCUCGUAAAAUUGCAGGACAUGGUUCCUGCCUU